This is a long non-coding RNA of Equus caballus (horse), 2395 nucleotides long. Lineage: Eukaryota; Metazoa; Chordata; Mammalia; Perissodactyla; Equidae. The record is from Ensembl.
CAGGACUUGGAACAAGUGAACAUUAUUGACUCAUUGGUGUGAUAGUCAGGGACCCACGAGGGUGAAACAGAUCCUGCUAAAAGAUGAAUGAAAGUGCCCAAGGGCAUCCAUGAACUCUGGUGAGACAGAAGGAGCAGGACCUGUGCAGUGAGCAUGGAAAUGGGAACUUUCCAUGACACACAGGCUGUGAGCGAGUUUCACUGGAACCACUCAUCUGAGAGCUCGGCCUCUCUCGUCUGUCUGUUUACCAGUUUAGACCCUCAAGGGGAAAAAACUAUUUUUGUCUCCUGUUUCAUGUCUUCAGGAACAUUUGCUAACUUAAGGCAUCAGCUGUCAGAGCUGCAGGAACUUCUGGAAACCACUUAGGCCCUCCAGCCGAGCCCGAUGUUACAGAUGAGGAAACUGAGACACAGGGAGGCUCCAAGGACACGCUGGUAGUGUCUCUGACAGCUAGCCCAGGGCCUUUCAACCUGGCGAGACAUGAAAAUCUCUGCUCCCUGUGCCAGGAGUGGCCUGAUCAUUAGAACAAGACAUUUCGAAGAAAGCUGCCUGUUUACCAUCGUGACCCCCAAACAAAACUUGAAGGAUACCAGUAACUUUUCACAUCAUUUUAAAGAAACAAAGGUUGGUGCUUUAUUUUUGCAAAGGGUAAAAUAUACCAUCAUUUUUGUUCUUUCCCCAACGCAGAAAGGAGACAGUCUACUGGACAGGAGAAAACUCUAGGGCGAGUUGCCAUUUUCAGUUUAUCCCCACGGACAUUUGAACCAAACGACUUGAGUCCUGACCCCUUCGUCCCUAUAGUCCCCCACAGUAAACGCAUCAACUCAUCACAAAUGAGCAGAGACACAUUGGUCUCCUCGGCCAGGUAGCAUCCACAUUCGCGACAGGUGUGCUCCUGCCACCAGGUCCCUGUCCCUCCCUCAGGGGUCCAGACAGGGCCGGACACAGGGGUGGCAGCAUGGUGCCGCCUUUGGUGGCGGGUAGCAGCUCUCUCACCUGUGGGCUCACCAGGCCAGGGCCGUGUCCUUCACCGAGGUGACGGAGGUCUCCUGCUGUCCCUGCAGACGCCGACGAACAGCCCUCGGUGAUAAAGGACCGGGACACGGAGCAAAGGGCCCCUGUCCCCUGCGUCCGGCCCACAGGGUGAACCACAGGCGGGUGUCCGGGCUCAGAGGCCUUCUCUCCAGCCCCGGAGCUUCUUCUGCCGGCCCCUGGGCGCCGGCUGGCCCGGGACGCGGGGCCGAGGCUUCUGAGGGAACAGGCCACCUCUCUCUGCUCCCCUUGCCGCGCCCACAGCCUGGCCCCUGGGACCCAGGACCUCUCCGCACGCCCCACCCAACCUGGCCAUGGAGCAGAAGGCGGGACAAGACCCUUGGGAGCGGCCCUUUGGCGCCAUUGGCGGUUCACAUGCGCGUGGCGGGCGGUCACGGGCACGCGCUUUCUUUGGCCGUGUGCACAGGGCCAGGAAGCGAGCCCGGCCGACCUUGGGGUCCGCCCAUGUCCGCCGCUGGAGGGAGGCCGUGCGGCCCCGAGCGCGUCCCCGCCACAGCCCGCGGGGAGAUCCCGGCCAUGGCCAUGCCAAGCUGGGCUGCUGCAGCCCCACCACCCGCCCCUCAGGGGACAGUGGGGAAACGGAGGCCAGGAGCGCCAGGGACUGGCUGGGCCCUUGAGCUGGGCAGAGGCCCCAGGACAAGAAAUAGAGCCUCCUCCCGUUUGCAUCGCGGCGUCUGUGUUUCCGUUCACUGGCUUAUUCAUCCACUCAUUCACUCAUGGCCUCACUCACUCACUCAUUCAUCCAGUCAUUCAUUCAUUCAGGCCUUCACUUGUUCCUCAUCCGUUCAUUCGUUCAGCAUGGCCUCGGUGACCAGUGUGGUGUCCACAAGGAAAUGCAGGGUCUGGUGGGGCUCAUCCCCUGUGAGGUGACAGAGGAAGCCAUGGAGGUCAGCAGAGAAGGCUCUGGAGAGACAGGAAAGUCGUGGCCCCCACCCCAAGCUGAUGGCACCAAGAGAAACUUGCCCACCUACCACAGGACCCUCCUGGCAGCAUCUCCCAGGCUGACCUUUAGGACCCCAUGGCCAUCUUGGGCCACCUUUCUGAGCCACUGGGUCUGGAUGUGGGGACAUGUAGGGUCCUCCCCAGCCCCAGCUAAGAGAGGGGACCUUGGGGAGCUCGCAGAUGAGAGCAGAGCACGCCAGUCCUGGGACUGAGGAAGUUUUGAUGCCACUCUGUGAGUGGACACUGGGCAGAGGUUGGCAGGAAACCCCCCAAUAUAUCUGUGCCCAUUGUAAUCCAGGGCAGGGGACAGCCGGGCACUGCUGUCACAGCCACAGGUUGGCUUUGUGAGCGGAGCUUGGGAGAGGGAGAGGGGGACUGCCAGCACUGGAAAGACACGGGC